AAAGCUUUGAAAAGAGAGUUAAACAGUACGUGAAAUUGCUGAAAGGGAAACGCUUGAAGUCAGUCGCGUCGGCCGGAACUCAGCCUUGCUUUUGCUUGGUGCACUUUCCGGUUGACGGGUCAGCAUCGAUUUUGACCGUCGGAAAAGGGCUGGAGUAAUGUGGCACCCUCGGGUGUGUUAUAGACUCUGGUCGCAUACGGCGGUUGGGAUCGAGGAACGCAGCGCGCCGUAAGGCAGGGGUUCGCCCACUUUCGCGCUUAGGAUGCUGGCAUAAUGGCUUUAAACGACCCGUCUUGAAACACGGACCAAGGAGUCUAACAUACCUGCGAGUGUUUGGGUGGAAAACCCGAGCGCGUAAUGAAAGUGAAAGUUGAGACCCCUGUCGUGGGGGGCAUCGACGCCCGGACCUGACGUUCUCUGAAGGAUCCGCGGUAGAGCAUGUAUGUUGGGACCCGAAAGAUGGUGAACUAUGCCUGAAUAGGGUGAAGCCAGAGGAAACUCUGGUGGAGGCUCGUAGCGAUUCUGACGUGCAAAUCGAUCGUCAAAUUUGGGUAUAGGGGCGAAAGACUAAUCGAACCAUCUUAAGUGAAC
Molecule: ribosomal RNA, 591 nt
Filed under: Ganoderma boninense
Lineage: Eukaryota; Fungi; Basidiomycota; Agaricomycetes; Polyporales; Polyporaceae
Description: partial large subunit ribosomal RNA
Rfam family: Eukaryotic large subunit ribosomal RNA
Source: RNAcentral